UACGAAGGGGGCUAGCGUUGCUCGGAAUCACUGGGCGUAAAGGGUGCGUAGGCGGGUCUUUAAGUCAGGGGUGAAAUCCUGGAGCUCAACUCCAGAACUGCCUUUGAUACUGAGGAUCUUGAGUCCGGGAGAGGUGAGUGGAACUGCGAGUGUAGAGGUGAAAUUCGUAGAUAUUCGCAAGAACACCGGUGGCGAAGGCGGCCAUCUGGCCCAUUUUUGACGCUGAGGCGCGAAAGCGUGGGGAGCAAACAGG
RNAcentral lists this ribosomal RNA (253 nucleotides) under uncultured bacterium. RNAcentral's name for it is "partial 16S ribosomal RNA". It matches the Rfam family "Bacterial small subunit ribosomal RNA", at positions 524 to 776 of the family's 1533-position model. The record is from RNAcentral.